This 1014-nucleotide ribosomal RNA is filed under the name Brevibacillus brevis. RNAcentral describes it as "bacterial LSU rRNA". It matches the Rfam family "Bacterial large subunit ribosomal RNA", at positions 54 to 1064 of the family's 2925-position model. Lineage: Bacteria; Bacillati; Bacillota; Bacilli; Caryophanales; Paenibacillaceae. The record is from RNAcentral.
GGACGCAGCGAACUGCGAUAAGCCUCGGGGAGCGGUAAGCACGCUUUGAUCCGGGGAUCUCCGAAUGGGGCAACCCACCAUCUGUAAUGGGAUGGUAUCCUUCACUGAAUACAUAGGUGAUGAGAAGGCAGACCCGGUGAACUGAAACAUCUAAGUAGCCGGAGGAAGAGAAAACAAUAGUGAUUCCGUCAGUAGUGGCGAGCGAACGCGGAAGAGCCUAAACCGUCGGGUUUACCCGGCGGGGUUGUGGGGCGUCUCACAUGGAGUUACAAAAGACGCGCGUAGGUGAACAGCUUGGGAAAGCUGACCAUAGAGCGUGAUAGUCGCGUACCCUAAACGCGCGUCUCUCCGAGACCAACCCCGAGUAGCGCGGGACACGUGAAAUCCCGUGUGAAUCUGGCAGGACCAUCUGCUAAGGCUAAAUACUACCUAGCGACCGAUAGUGAACCAGUACCGUGAGGGAAAGGUGAAAAGCACCCCGGGAGGGGAGUGAAAUAGUACCUGAAACCGUGUGCUUACAAAUAGUCGGAGCCCGUUAAAAGGGUGACGGCGUGCCUUUUGUAGAAUGAACCGGCGAGUUACGGUAGCGUGCGAGGUUAAGUUGAAGAGACGGAGCCGCAGCGAAAGCGAGUCUGAAUAGGGCGAUAGUACGCUGCCGUAGACCCGAAACCGUGUGAUCUAGCCAUGUCCAGGGUGAAGGUAGGGUAACACCUACUGGAGGCCCGAACCCACGCACGUUGAAAAGUGCGGGGAUGAGGUGUGGCUAGCGGUGAAAUUCCAAUCGAACUCGGAGAUAGCUGGUUCUCCCCGAAAUAGCUUUAGGGCUAGCCUCGGAAUUUAGAGUCUUGGAGGUAGAGCACUGAUUGGACUAGGGGCCCUCAUCGGGUUACCGAAUUCAGUCAAACUCCGAAUGCCAAUGACUUAUGUCCGGGAGUCAGACGGUGAGUGCUAAGAUCCAUCGUCAAAAGGGAACAGCCCAGACCAUCAGCUAAGGUCCCAAAGUAUACGUUAAGU